ACACGCAUGACACACUGCAUAUCAAUAAGCGGAGGAAAAGAAACUAACAAGGAUUCCCUUAGUAACGGCGAGUGAAGCGGGAAGAGCUCAAAUUUGAAAUCUUCAAGGUUUUACCUUGACGAAUUGUAGUUUAAAGAAGUGUUUUCUGCUGAAGUUUUGGUAAAAGUUCUUUGGAAUAGGACAUCAUAGAGAGUGAGAAUCCCGUAUUUGACCAUUAUUUUCAGCUGUGUGAUACACUUUCAAAGAGUCGGAUUGUUUGGGAAUGCAGUCCAAAAUGGGUGGUAAAUUUCAUCUAAAGCUAAAUAUUGGCGAGAGACCGAUAGCGAACAAGUACCGUGAGGGAAAGAUGAAAAGAACUUUGAAAAGAGAGUUAAACAGUACGUGAAAUUGUCAAAAGGGAAGCGUUUGACACCAGUGUUGUUUUCUCGAAAAUCAAUUAAAGAGCGGAUUUUGUUGUUGAGUUAAUGACUUUCAUCAGCUUACUGCACUUUCUUUACUACUUUCUUAAUGCACUUUUCGUUAACAAGUCAACAUCAAUUUCUUUUGUUGUAAAAGGGUAUGAGGAAGGUGGCUUUCAUUUCGGUGAAAGUGUUUAUAGCCUUGUGACCUCUGCAAUCGGAGAGAUUGAGGUCUGCAGCGUAGAUCCUUCGGGGUUAGAUACAUUUGUGCUAAGCUAUAGCUUUUCAUAGACAACUUGUUGACUAUAUUUAGUCUUGUGGCUUACUCGCUUAUGCUAUUUUACCUACGCUUAGGAUGUUGAGCGCAUGUCUCUCUCU
This 776-nucleotide ribosomal RNA is filed under the name uncultured Neocallimastigales. RNAcentral's name for it is "partial large subunit ribosomal RNA". It matches the Rfam family "Eukaryotic large subunit ribosomal RNA", at positions 23 to 616 of the family's 3401-position model. The record is from RNAcentral. Lineage: Eukaryota; Fungi; Neocallimastigomycota; Neocallimastigomycetes; Neocallimastigales.